This 328-nucleotide ribosomal RNA is filed under the name uncultured eukaryote. RNAcentral's name for it is "partial 18S ribosomal RNA". It matches the Rfam family "Eukaryotic small subunit ribosomal RNA", at positions 1470 to 1796 of the family's 1831-position model. The record is from RNAcentral.
CCCUUAGAUGUCCGGGGCUGCACGCGCGCUACACUGAAGGAAUCAGCGUGCUAAAACCAUUGUCGAAAGGCAUUGGUAAACCCAUUAAAAUCCUACGUGAUUGGGAUCGGGAAUUGCAAUUAUUUCCCCUGAACGAGGAAUUCCCAGUAAGUGUGGGUCAUAAGCUCGCGUUGAUUACGUCCCUGCCCUUUGUACACACCGCCCGUCGCUGCCCGGGACUGAGCCGUUUCGAGAAAAGCGGGGACUGCUGCUGUCGGGGCUUUCGGGCCUUGGCUUCGGUGGAAACCGCUUUAAUCGCAGUGGCUUGAACCGGGCAAAAGUCGUAACA